AUUGAACGCUGGCGGCAUGCCUUACACAUGCAAGUCGAACGGUAACAGGGAGCUUGCUCCGCUGACGAGUGGCGAACGGGUGAGUAAUGUAUCGGAACGUACCAUUCAGUGGGGGAUAACGUAGCGAAAGUUACGCUAAUACCGCAUAUUCUGUGAGCAGGAAAGCAGGGGAUCGCAAGACCUUGCGCUGAUUGAGCGGCCGAUAUCAGAUUAGCUAGUUGGUGAGGUAAAGGCUCACCAAGGCGACGAUCUGUAGCGGGUCUGAGAGGAUGAUCCGCCACACUGGAACUGAGACACGGUCCAGACUCCUACGGGAGGCAGCAGUGGGGAAUUUUGGACAAUGGGGGCAACCCUGAUCCAGCCAUGCCGCGUGAGUGAAGAAGGCCUUCGGGUUGUAAAGCUCUUUCGGCCGGGAAGAAAUCGUAUGGGUUAAUACCCUGCGCGGAUGACGGUACCGGCAUAAGAAGCACCGGCUAACUACGUGACC
RNAcentral lists this ribosomal RNA (487 nucleotides) under uncultured bacterium. RNAcentral's name for it is "bacterial SSU rRNA". It matches the Rfam family "Bacterial small subunit ribosomal RNA", at positions 30 to 510 of the family's 1533-position model. The record is from RNAcentral.